This 230-nucleotide ribosomal RNA is filed under the name uncultured bacterium. RNAcentral describes it as "partial 16S ribosomal RNA". It matches the Rfam family "Bacterial small subunit ribosomal RNA", at positions 562 to 791 of the family's 1533-position model. The record is from RNAcentral.
AAAGCGUGCGCAGGCGGUUAUAUAAGACAGAUGUGAAAUCCCCGGGCUCAACCUGGGAACUGCAUUUGUGACUGUAUAGCUGGAGUACGGCAGAGGGGGAUGGAAUUCCGCGUGUAGCAGUGAAAUGCGUAGAUAUGCGGAGGAACACCGAUGGCGAAGGCAAUCCCCUGGGCCUGUACUGACGCUCAUGCACGAAAGCGUGGGGAGCAAACAGGAUUAGAUACCCGUGU